GACUCGCAGAGAGAGAGAGAGAGAGAGACAGAAAGUGGCCGCCGGCGGAGAGAAAAGGCGAAGGACUUCUCCUGCCGUCCAACUGUUUCUUUGAUAAUUGGAGAGCUAGGGUCGGGGUUAGGGUUUAUCUCCUCUGCGAAGAUGCUGAGGCGAUUGGCGCUCCGUUCCACCACCAUCGCGUCUCCGGCGAUUCAUUCACUGGCCAAGAUCCGUGUUCUCGGCCGCGGCGAGGGAUGUCUCCCUGCCAAUCCCCGAUCUCAGACGUUCUUGCGGAGUUUCAUCGAUCUCCACCAGAUGGGUAGCAAGGAAUCCAUCGAGAAGGAGCGAGCUCGGCUUGGAGACAGUAUUUGAGAAGCGCGUCGUCACUUUACUCAUCACAUUCAGAUAUUCUCCAGUCCCAUUGUAUACUGAGAUCAUGAUGAAGGGCACCAUCUCCCCCUUGUCUUUCUAGAUCAUUGACUGCAAUUUAUACCUUAUGUCCAAUAUUUUUGUCAUGCCCAUGCUAGUACUGUAUAUCUUUUCUUGUUUCAAUAUUUAGUCCAGGAAAAAAGAUUACUCUCUCUUUGUAUGUGUGUUGUCUGUGUGUGAAAUUCUUGUCAAGUUUCUAGGUACAUCUGAGGCCAUAUGUUAAAUGACCUCUUAGAAUCGAAGUGAAAGAAUUAUAAUUAAACUGGCUUUUAGUUUUCAAAUAAUAAGACAUUACAUGUGGAUGUGAAUAGGAGAGUGUCAAUGUAGCUUUUCUUUCAGCUAGGUUGUGAUUGUCACUUCUAGUUUUCAGUUUCUUUGACAAGAUAGAGUCAAAGUGAAAGAGAUCUAAUAAGCUGGAUGUCCGCUUUCAAUUGAUAGAGGCAUAUUUUUGGAUUCUA
This is a non-coding RNA of Elaeis guineensis (African oil palm), 866 nucleotides long. The record is from RefSeq and is a predicted model, not a curated record. Lineage: Eukaryota; Viridiplantae; Streptophyta; Magnoliopsida; Arecales; Arecaceae.